CAGGGGGAAGCCACCCCUGAUGGAGGAACCCAGGAAAAAAAGCAAAAAUCGUCCGACACGUAAGUAAUUACAGCCUUAGCCGGUUAGGAAAAAAGUAUGGACGGGCGGCCGUAUCGUAUCUUUAACAUAUGGCGUAAACUGUAAGAUUUUUGUUAUUUUUUCAGCGUCCUGUGGCCCGAGCAUAGUUUUAUGGGAUUCCGACAUCAUACUACGGAAAUUCAAUCGGUGUCGAUGGCGUUGCAUCCUUUCUCAACGCUAGAUCGUAUGUCGUCGACCAUUUAUCGGUUAUCGCGGCGAAGAGUGUCAAGGGAUAUGGAAUACACCCUCCGACUUUUUAUAAACACUCGGAGAUCCGGUAUUUAUCUAGUUGCGACCUUGCUUGACUCGCCUAGCGCUGUAAACAUCGGAAAUCAGCACAAUUCUUUUUUAUCCCUCUUAUCUCUUUACACUGAUUAAUAUUGUGGCUACUCUCACUAUCCGACUCGGCUUACAGAUGAUCCGGCCUAUGUUAAAAGUGGUGGUGGCCGCACUUUUCCAUUUACGCCCAUGCUAAAUUUUCGUCUGCCGCUUAAUUUGGUCUACGUGCCAGCGCUUACGACAGUUUUUAAGACCGCUCGGUGUGUGUUAUUUUUCCCUACCACACGCCUUCGCCAGUUAACCCAUGCCCUAGCUUUUGCCCGUUAACGCCACAUCCAAACUCCACUCGAAAGCAUUUGGGGCCGGGAUGCUUACAGAACCCAAUCUCACUAAAUAAAACUUUAUUAAAAUCGAUGUGUCGGCCGAAAGCAACUUUUUAUCAGCCAGUUUUGUCGCUCUAUGUAAAUAUUCAUCUAAAUCAAAUUUAAAUAUUUAUUCAAUUAUCCGCAGGUAACGUUGCAAUAAUUAUCCUAUUAAUAUUUCUAGUUUAAUCAAAUAUUUAUAUGUUUCGAUGCCCAAGAUAAUUAGAUAAAAUAGCAGCUACAUCCACGGUGGUGCUAAAUCCCGCCUCGACCAUAAACGGCCAACUGCAACCAAUCUUCGGUUUAACCGAAGUCUGCUCGAGAAGAUGCUUAAUAAAUCCCACCGGUGGGCCAGCCUUUUACUACUCUACUAACCCAAAGCCAAAUAUAAUAGGAAUAAAUGAUAACAGAUGGCGCCAGGCGAAAUGAGCCAGUAAAUAAAAAAAAUAUCGCUUUAGCGCCCUUUCAAAUACCGACACCAUGUAAUUGUAUUUUAUCCACCUGUUAUCGGUAGUCGUACCAUAACAACAAUAAUAAUCAGGCGAGUAUAUAACAUUCGAUAUUCCUGAGAGUAGUGGCCAGCACAUGACACCAUGGGAGACACCUAUGUGGUUACGUCACUACUGGAGUCACUAGUGACGUGGAGACGGUACGUCACCGACCCACCUCUCCACUGACAUUGACAUAGGUUUACCAUUCCUCUAGAUAUAAUUUCGGUUUGACAUUCGAGAAGAUGCAAUUAGUGGACAGAUUUUUCCCUUCCGUUCUACUGCCUGUACCAGUCGAUUAAUGGAAAGAGAAUAGAAAGUUAUUUUGUUGGCUUUUUUCCGUCCAGCUCUCAAAAAAGGUCACUAACCUAAUAUGACCCAGAAGGCAAACUAGUUUUCGCCCCCAAACCGAUAACUUCGGGAUUUAUUUUCACCACCAGGCGGGAAAAUAAUCGUUUUGUAGUCUGGAUGGAAAAUCUUUUCUGGAAAUAAACGUCAGCCGAUGAUGUCUAAAUAAUGGUGACAUUUUUAAAACAAGUGCGGAAAAUCUGCUAGAUAAAAAAGUACAAAUCGUAAAAUUAAAGUCCAUCCGAGCGGAGGUGCGAAGUAUCCGAAAAACAACUAGCGGUUGUACGUAUGUAUGGCCCGAGACGCUAGAUUGGCGCGGGGCCAAAACCAUAGUUUGAUUUUUACGACUUUAAGCUUCGUGAUGUGACGGAUGAACGUGAUAUGAAUAAGGUAAGAUUACCGACUAAUACCUCCCCUCUCGCAGUGUGGUUUGUAUAAUGCCAGACACCAUUCUUUUCAAUAGAUCCUAUUGUAAUAACACCGGUUGGCCUGACGUCAUCCGAUGAAGGCGAUAAAUUCCAAGGUUGGAUGUAUCACGUGUGUUCAUCACGUCACUAUCCCAACGUACCCAGAGUUUGGGAAAUUCAAUCUGUCCACUCCAACCCCAUCGAGCCACUCGAAUACUUCUGCACCUCUUGAACCCACCAGUCGAAGGUUGCGAGAUUUUCUCAUGUACACUAUCUGCCGCAAAAGCGCCAUUGUUAUUGUUACUAUUACCAGUUUUGUUGGGUCCGACACCUUGUCAAGAUGCUUAAAAAUUUCUAAUUCGUGUUGCCGCGAUAGGCCGACGGCCAAAUUUUAGACCAAUUAAAAGACAAAAAAUAUUUUGGGCGCGUCACUUUACACGCUUUUACGGUGAAAGACGUGAUAAAGCCAUUCUACUUUCACAACUGGAAAUUAGCUAGAGACGGUGACUUCAUCAUCCCUCCGGGUGCACCUUGCCAGUCAUCAAUUACCUAGCUCAAGGCUAUCACAUAAAGCACCAAAAAGAUGUAGCGGGGUUAGAUGACUCAGCUCCCGUCUUCACCGCGCUCCGUAUGACGUCAUUUCUGGUCACCUGUACAUCUGGCUGCUCGGGUCAGUCGCCUUGGAUAGUUUGACCCAGUUUGCUACCCGGUGCCUCAAAUAUAGUCGAAAAUUAAAAUGCAAUGGUAGUAGGAAAAGUUUUUAGAUACGAUGUAGAAGUUUCGCAAUUGUUUACGCACUUUUAAAAGUCACAUUGGAUAAGCGGAUAACGAAUACCUUAGCACGUCCAACUUAAAUUAUCCCAACGACUUUAUACAAAGUAGGUUGUUUCUCGAGAGUGUAAGGGAUGAUAUUUAUGAGGUCAAGGAGCUAUUUUACUACGUAAUGCCAAGAAAUGCUUUCUUCGACUUUACACACACAUUCGUUGUUAGAAAAACUUUUACCAUUUAAUACAUAAAAAUUUACCGUAACGGUAUCUUAUCAAAUUUUGUUUUGUCUAACGACAGGUCCGUACGCCUUUAUAUUUGGCGAAAUUACUCCAGUUAGGAAAUUUUGAUCGGAACGUAGCGCAAUUCUCGGUGGACAGUGCAUUAUUAACUCGGAUUCUUUACCAUCGAGUCUUCCAUUCAUUUAUAUCACUUAUCAUAAGCUACAUUUUUUUUUUUUUUUUUUGAACAGCCGACCAUCCUGUAUCAGAAAAGAGUUGUCUUCGCUUCUGCGGUAAUUAUCUACAACAAGUUUUGCGUGAGGAACGAUAUCUGAGGCCGGCAGCCCCAUUCAGUCGUACGACUAAGUAUAUUUAAGUUGUUCCUAGUCUAGUCGGCGCCAGUCUUCAGCUAUUUAGCCACAAGAUCCUUGGUGGCGUCUCCCAAACAGGAAAAUGGGGGCGCGUAUAAUAAAAGGACCGCCCGGGGGGAAGGAAUAUAAAAUUAAAAAUAAAAAAUGCAGAAACCCAGAAAGAACUCUGUAGGGAGUUGGCAGAUUGGCCGUCAACUUUUUCACCUUGUUCCGACGCUAGUAUAACUGGGUGAUCGUAAACUACCACUAACAGAAGAUAUUAACUGGAUUUUACGACCGUUCAACUACUAUCCAAUUGAUAGUGGUGCCACUCAAUGUUAUUGACUGAAAACAACUCUUUUUAAGUGACAACGAUCGGCCAUUCGAUAACCAGCAAACUAUCGUCUGCCUUCCACGGCUCGGCUGCUAACUCUGAUUUUUACUCCUACUUAUCUAUAAAAAAAAACUGUGCAUCUUUUUCGCUUAAAUACUUACAUCGACAAACUUUUCGAUUUUCUUUCUAUCCUAUCCGACCACGGUCGACUUAUAAUUACAAAAAGCUUUAAUGGCAGAUAACGAGAUUAAAUAAGAAAUUUUCGUCCGCUUUAUAAUUCUUCCAUCCGCCAACAGUAAUUACCAUUCAUUUUUAAAAUUUAUAUAACAUUUUCGCCAUCAUAAAAAUCAAUUUUAUGGUUUAAAAUGAUUAAUUAUUUCCAGACAAAUAUUUUUUUAUCGAAUUUUUCCCUGGGUUGGUAAUGACAGAUGGCGCUAUUAACUAGCGUAUAUUUUUUAUUUAUUUUAAAAUUUUUGUAUAAAAAUAAAACGGGGGCGACAAUUUUAUGGCCCAACCAUUAAAAUCUCUCUUAUUUAAUCGUAUAUUUAUCAAAAGUGAAUUUACACGAUAAAAUCCUGGCCAAUUAGAUAAUUUCCCAACUGUGUAAAGCUCACUGCAGUGUUUAAAGUAUAAGCUAUAAAAACAUUUUUUAUUGUUAUAAAACAUUAUUCGAGUUUGUAUUUUUAAUACCUCUUUCGUGCCUCGAAUAUAAAUAAGUAAAAGUGAUUGGUGUUAAUUUUAUAGUUAACUUAAUGGCCACUAGAGAGCCCGUUAAAAUUAUUGUAUAAUAAUGAGUUGUCAUUUUAUUUAGCCAUACAAAACAUAUCCUGCGGAUGGUUUCGUUUCGAGCCUUUGUCGAUCCAACCCAAGUUGCCCACAGACACCACAAAAUCUUAUGACGUUCUUUGUCCGGUAGGACGCUAGCGUAGUUUGUAAGCCGCGCCUCCGAAACCGUUCCACUUGUUUUCGUUUGGUCCGCUCGAAGCCGAUAUUGCCGUUUAAACUUAUUUUCCACAAUUUUAGCCUUAUUUGAAACAGUUUCGUUAGCCAAUUAUCACCCGCCUCCGCCAUUAAUAAAUAAACUAAGCCGGUUCAAUAACUUUUUACCAAAACAACUUAAGGAUAGCGAAUAUUUUUAACAUUUUCUAACGCGCGCCUCAUUGACCAGAAACAUGGCUUCAACAAUAUAUUUCUCUUUUUAAUUAAAUUCUCGAAACGAAAUGUUUUAAAAAUAAAGUUAUAUUAUUAUAAAAUACGGGUAUUCUUUUCAUUUUCCACUUAAACUAUAUCGUUAAUAAUUGUGGUCAAGUUAAUGACCCUUCUUGGUUUUGUGUACUUUUUGCAUUUAUCGAUGGCAACGGAAGCGUGGUGUUCCCAAACUGAAUCCCGAUCGACUCGAAAUUUUGUCCAAAUAUUAGCCGUUUUUUCAUAAGGUAGGGCGGUAAAAGUUUUCGUUUCCAAGGCGAUGGCAAUAACACUUAUCGGAUUACCAGGAAGAAGAAAAAAAGCCAUUCCGUCUGUUAUAAGGAAUUCUUUAACUUUAUUGGAAGAGAAGGAAAAAAUAUGCUUACCACAAGAUUUUUGUUUUCUGCAUUUUCUGGUACGCAGAAUCUCUAUAAACUGGUUUCUUUCGAUUUGCGAAUAAAAUAACUCUGGUUUCUGUCUGGUCCUUCUGGCCACCGAUAAUCGUUGAUACGUUUUAUUAAUUAUAAGUAAUAUAUAUACAUAUACUGUAUAUAUAUCGAUGACGCAUAGACUAUAACAAUUUUUUUGCUG
This 5408-nucleotide long non-coding RNA is filed under the name Androctonus crassicauda. The record is from RNAcentral. Lineage: Eukaryota; Metazoa; Arthropoda; Arachnida; Scorpiones; Buthidae.